CCUACGGGCGGCAGCAGUGGGGAAUAUUGGACAAUGGGCGAAAGCCUGAUCCAGCCAUGCCGCGUGUGUGAAGAAGGCCUUCGGGUUGUAAAGCACUUUCAGUGGGGAAGAAAGCCUUGGGGCUAAUACCCUCGAGGAAGGACAUCACCCACAGAAGAAGCACCGGCUAACUCCGUGCCAGCAGCCGCGGUAAUACGGAGGGUGCGAGCGUUAAUCGGAAUUACUGGGCGUAAAGCGCGCGUAGGCGGUCUGAUAAGCCGGUUGUGAAAGCCCCGGGCUCAACCUGGGAACGGCAUCCGGAACUGUCAGGCUAGAGUGCAGGAGAGGAAGGUAGAAUUCCCGGUGUAGCGGGGAAAUGCGUAGAGAUCGGGAGGAAUACCAGUGGCGAAGGCGGCCUUCUGGACUGACACUGACGCUGAGGUGCGAAAGCGUGGGUAGCAAACAGGAUUAGAUACCCUUGUAGUC
RNAcentral lists this ribosomal RNA (465 nucleotides) under Vreelandella stevensii. RNAcentral describes it as "partial 16S ribosomal RNA". It matches the Rfam family "Bacterial small subunit ribosomal RNA", at positions 338 to 795 of the family's 1533-position model. Lineage: Bacteria; Pseudomonadati; Pseudomonadota; Gammaproteobacteria; Oceanospirillales; Halomonadaceae. The record is from RNAcentral.